Molecule: ribosomal RNA, 1346 nt
Filed under: uncultured bacterium
Lineage: Bacteria
Description: partial 16S ribosomal RNA
Rfam family: Bacterial small subunit ribosomal RNA
Source: RNAcentral
GACGAACGCCUUCGGCGUGCUUAACACAUGCAAGUCGAACGGAAAGGCCCUGCUUUUGUGGGGUGCUCGAGUGGCGAACGGGUGAGUAACACGUGAGUAACCUGCCCUUGACUUUGGGAUAACUUCAGGAAACUGGGGCUAAUACCGGAUAGGAGCUCCUGCUGCAUGGUGGGGGUUGGAAAGUUUCGGCGGUUGGGGAUGGACUCGCGGCUUAUCAGCUUGUUGGUGGGGUAGUGGCUUACCAAGGCUUUGACGGGUAGCCGGCCUGAGAGGGUGACCGGCCACAUUGGGACUGAGAUACGGCCCAGACUCCUACGGGAGGCAGCAGUGGGGAAUAUUGCACAAUGGGCGGAAGCCUGAUGCAGCAACGCCGCGUGCGGGAUGACGGCCUUCGGGUUGUAAACCGCUUUCGCCUGUGACGAAGCGUGAGUGACGGUAAUGGGUAAAGAAGCACCGGCUAACUACGUGCCAGCAGCCGCGGUGAUACGUAGGGUGCGAGCGUUGUCCGGAUUUAUUGGGCGUAAAGGGCUCGUAGGUGGUUGAUCGCGUCGGAAGUGUAAUCUUGGGGCUUAACCCUGAGCGUGCUUUCGAUACGGGUUGACUUGAGGAAGGUAGGGGAGAAUGGAAUUCCUGGUGGAGCGGUGGAAUGCGCAGAUAUCAGGAGGAACACCAGUGGCGAAGGCGGUUCUCUGGGCCUUUCCUGACGCUGAGGAGCGAAAGCGUGGGGAGCGAACAGGCUUAGAUACCCUGGUAGUCCACGCUGUAAACGGUGGGUACUAGGUGUGGGGUCCAUUCCACGGGUUCCGUGCCGUAGCUAACGCUUUAAGUACCCCGCCUGGGGAGUACGGCCGCAAGGCUAAAACUCAAAGGAAUUGACGGGGCCCCGCACAAGCGGCGGAGCAUGCGGAUUAAUUCGAUGCAACGCGUAGAACCUUACCUGGGUUUGACAUGGAUCGGGAGUGCUCAGAGAUGGGUGUGCCUCUUUUGGGGUCGGUUCACAGGCGGUGCAUGCCUGUCGUCAGCUCGUGUCGUGAGAUGUUGGGUUAAGUCUCGCAACGAGCGCAACCCUUGUUCACUGUUGCCAGCACGUUAUGGUGGGGACUCAGUGGAGACCGCCGGGGUCAACUCGGAGGAAGGUGGGGAUGACGUCAAGUCAUCAUGCCCCUUAUGUCCAGGGCUUCACGCAUGCUACAAUGGCUGGUACAGAGAGUGGCGAGCCUGUGAGGGUGAGCGAAUCUCGGAAAGCCGGUCUCAGUUCGGAUUGGGGUCUGCAACUCGACCUCAUGAAGUCGGAGUCGCUAGUAAUCGCAGAUCAGCAACGCUGCGGUGAAUACGUUCCCGGGGCU